Molecule: Y RNA, 108 nt
Filed under: Microcebus murinus (gray mouse lemur)
Lineage: Eukaryota; Metazoa; Chordata; Mammalia; Primates; Cheirogaleidae
Description: Y RNA (ENSMICG00000022977.3)
Rfam family: Y RNA
About the family: Y RNAs are components of the Ro ribonucleoprotein particle (Ro RNP), in association with Ro60 and La proteins. The Y RNAs and Ro60 and La proteins are well conserved, but the function of the Ro RNP is not known.
Source: Rfam by way of RNAcentral
GGCUGGUCUGAAGGUAGUGAGUUAUUUCACUUGAUUGUUCACAGAACUGCUUGUUGUUCUACUACUUCCCCCCUUCUCACUACUGCACUAGUUUUUGACUAGUCAAAA